Chelonoidis abingdonii (Abingdon island giant tortoise) is the source of this 111-nucleotide non-coding RNA. Lineage: Eukaryota; Metazoa; Chordata; Testudines; Testudinidae. The record is from RefSeq and is a predicted model, not a curated record.
UAAGAACCACUCGCUGAAACGGACCCCAACACCCUCCCCCCUCCACUGCCUCUCUCUUCGAGCAAACAUUAGCUGUCAGCACUCCAAACGGAGCCCCCCUUGCCUGCCUCU